RNAcentral lists this non-coding RNA (65 nucleotides) under Spirochaetota bacterium. RNAcentral's name for it is "Spirochaetes bacterium Fluoride sequence". It matches the Rfam family "Fluoride riboswitch aptamer (crcB RNA motif)". Lineage: Bacteria; Pseudomonadati; Spirochaetota. The record is from RNAcentral.
UUUUUAUUUGGAGAUGGAGUUCUCCCUUAAACCGUCCUGUAAAGACUGAUAACUCCUACUAAAAU